Molecule: non-coding RNA, 736 nt
Organism: Odocoileus virginianus texanus
Lineage: Eukaryota; Metazoa; Chordata; Mammalia; Artiodactyla; Cervidae
Source: RefSeq, a predicted model, not a curated record
CCGGGUGCAAGCGACGCUCAUGGCGGCCGACCGCGGCCCAAGACCUGAAGCCACCUGUGCGCACGUGGGAUGGUGCCUCCCCUAGACCGACCCGAGGCCUAAGACCGCCCUGAGGCAGAGCGUCGGGGGCUUGAAGGGCCCCUUCUUGUUCUCGUUGGAAGCAGGACCCCGAGAGUGGAGUGUGUGCAGAGGUGGGCAGGCCGGGGGCCUGGGGUCCUGAGCCCCUGAGUCAGGAGCGAUGAGUGAGGCCCAUCGGGGUCCAGUGCGGAAGGCGUGGGAGCCCGGGCUCUGGUGGGAGAAGUCUGGGCACAGAUGAAGAAGGAGAUGAAUCCCGCGUUCCUAUGGUUCUGUCAAAGGGAGAGAACGAGGGCUCAGAGGGAGGCCUGUCCUGUCAGAGUAGAGUCAGUAACCUCCUCAGAGCAGAGCCGGGUGAGAAGAGAGCUGCCAACACCAGGUUUUCUCCUCAAAGAGAAGAGACGUGUCAACCCAGGGCCGCAUGCUCCUGGGCGUGCUCUGCUGGAGGAGCAUGUGGGGAGCAGACUGGGGCCUUUUAUAGCCCCAAAAGCUGGAGAAGAAUUUUAUGAGAUUCUUGUGACUGCUCUCUCUCCCUUCCUUCCCUCCAUUUCUAUUUUCUCUCCUUUGAAAGUACAACCAUCCUUGCCUUGGACAAUUUCUCUUACUUCCCAUACAUCCUCCAGAGAUUUCUCUCAGGGUCAAUAAAUAGUAGUAGCCUGCA